AUCAAAGAAGCAAUGGAUUUUGUCACCGCCCCGCUGAGCAUUCCUUCGUUCGCCUUCGCAAAACAACUGGGGCGAAAACUUCAGUUGUAUUUUAAACAAAUGCAUGAUCAAACGGCUUUUUAUAUGGUACAUCAUGCCCUACAUCCUACAGAAGGUGAAAAACGAGCGAAGAAACAAGCCAAGUUCAUCGGCCUGUUUUCUACUCCAUAAACGCUCUUCGAAGUAAAAAAAAUAUGUCUUCCAGCUAAUUGCUACAUCUAUGAAGGAGCAAAGCCUUCUUUAACUUCUGGAAAACGAAGCUUGUAAUUGUUUUUUAACCUUUCACUGUUGUUCUCACAGCGAAAAAAACGGCAAGACCCGGACGGCUGCUCACCAUUUUCUAAAGUGGCUGUCAGUAUUAUUUUCAAGUACAUCAGAAACACUCUUAUUCGGUCAGGAGUGGUCGCAGAAGACAUCCCGAGGCUUACUCGACGCAAUCGCUGCAGCCCACGCAGCGAGAACGAUUGCCAGAAAUUUAUCAAGGAAACGCAAGUAUUAUAAUGACAUGAAUUGAGCUUUCACUUUUUUUUAAGCACACGUACGCAAAACGAACUGUUUGGAAUAGUGUCAUAACCUAUUGAAAUAAAAAAACAAAA
Molecule: non-coding RNA, 635 nt
Organism: Dermacentor andersoni
Lineage: Eukaryota; Metazoa; Arthropoda; Arachnida; Ixodida; Ixodidae
Source: RefSeq, a predicted model, not a curated record